UAUAUACUCCCUCUGGUUCAUAUUACUUGUCUUGGAUUUUUCUAGAUAUGGAUGUAUCUAGACAUGUUUUAGUGUUAGAUUCAUCCGUAUCUAGACAAAUCUAAGACAAGUAACUGGAACCGGAGGGAGUAUUAG
RNAcentral lists this microRNA precursor (135 nucleotides) under Hordeum vulgare. RNAcentral describes it as "microRNA MIR1122". It matches the Rfam family "MIR1120/MIR1122 microRNA precursor family". The record is from RNAcentral. Lineage: Eukaryota; Viridiplantae; Streptophyta; Magnoliopsida; Poales; Poaceae.